UAAGAAUCACCUUUCCCUCUUCAGUUCAAAAAUCCGUUUUCCACCAUUAGGGAAACCCUGCCGGAGAAGAUGAGGAUAGCCGAAAUCUCCACGCCGGAGCUCCGGCGAGCCCAAGCGGAAGCUCAGCCGCAGGACUCCUCUCCCGUCCUCUCUCAGAUCGAGUCUCUGAUCGAGCAUUGUGAAGAAGACUUCACCUCCGGUCCCAAGCUGAGCCAACUCGCCUCGAGUCUCAGGCAGUCCCUCGCUCGGCUGAGCGAACUUGCUCCCUUCUCCAACUCGGUCAACCUCCACAUAUGGAAGCUCAGUUACCGCCUCUGGAACGCCUGCGUCGACCUCUCCAAUGCCUCCUCCAUCCGCUCCUCCUCCUCCUCAACCACAGCUGCCGAGGACCAGGCAAAGCUCCGGCAUGUCACUGCCGACAUGCUCUCCCUCGCCGGAGACACCGCCGGCGUCGCCUCUCCCGAGUUCAAGACCGCCUUCUUCUACUACAAAACUGGCCUGAUGUGGCACAGUCUCCGAAAGUUUGACCUCGCGUCGAGUUGCUUCGAGAAGGCCACCGAUCUCCUGUCGAAGGUAGAUCCCCGUACAGUUACUGACACAGGACAGCGGAAGCUGCUGCUGGAUCUCAACCUCGCCCGAUCACAGACUGCUUGGGAGGUUUCAGAUCCUAUUCUCGCUGUAACUCUGUUGAGCCGUGCAAAAUCAUUUCUAUUUGGAUCAUCUGAUCACUAUAAAGCCCUAGCGAAUCAGUACUUGGCCUUUGGCAAGAGUUUUCUGUCAAUCGAUAACGAGAAUAAGGGUCAGAGCUUCAGAGAAGCGCUGAAGCUGAUGAAUGGUGCCCUGGAACUGUGCGAGAAGGGAUUCAGUACUGCGAGGACACGGCAAGAGAAGCUGGAUCUCAAAGCCCUGAAAUCGAAGACCCUCCGAUUCGUCGCGGCCGUCCACUUGCAGAUGGAAGAAUAUGAGAGCGUUAUAAAAUGCGUGAAGGUACUGAGAGAAGGUGAAGGAGGAGACCACCACCCUUGCCUCCCUGUCCUGGCAAUGAAGGGGUGGCUGGGGCUCGGAAGGUAUGGUGAGGCGGAGAAAGAGCUGAGGGGCAUGGUCGUGAAUAAGGGGGUCCCAGAAGGCGUUUGGGUGUCGGCUGUGGAGACGUACUUCCAGGCAGCAGGGACAGCUGGGUUGGAGACAGCGAAGGGAGUCUUCCUGGGACUCCUGGGAAGGUGCCAUGUCAGUGCGGGGGCUGCAGUGAGAAUUGUUCACAGGGUGAUUGGUGGUGGAGGGGAAGGGUUGAAGGUGAGGGCUAAGGUGGUGGUGGAGCUGGUCUCGGAUGAGAGAGUGGUGGCGCUAUUUGCAGGGGAUGGAGCUGCUAAGGAGAGGAUUGCAAUGCAUGCUGUUCUUUGGAACUGUGCUGCAGAUCACUUCCGGUCCAAAGACUACGAAGCAAGUGCUGAGAUGUACGAGAAAUCAAUGCUCUAUGUUCCUCAUGAUAUAGAAAACAGAGUUCUCCGAGCCAAGAGCUUCAGGGUUUUGUGCUUAUGCCACCUGGGUCUCUCUCAGCUGGAUCGAGCUAAAGAAUAUAUCGAUGAGGCUGAAAAGCUUGAACCGAAUGUUGCGUGUGCUUUCCUCAAGUUCAAGAUUUAUUUGCAAGGUAAAGAUCACAGUGGCGCCGUGACCCAGAUUCUUGCAAUGACAACCUGCCUCGACUAUACUCCAGACUUCCUCUUGCUAGCGGCUCAUGAAGCUAUUGCUUGCCGUGCUCUUCCGGUUGCUGUUGCCUCUUUAUCCAAUCUCCUGAACUUCUAUGCCUCUGGGAAACCCAUGCCAGGCAAUCAAACCGUAGUUUUCCGUACCUUGGUCACAAUCCUCACUCAAGACCCAGGCAAUGAAUCUGAAAUCCUUAAAUAUGUUAAGCAUGUGCAUUCACGAGCAUCUGACGUGGGGCCUGAUUGCUUCUUCGGGAAAGGUGAGGUUGCAAGACGUGAACUGAAAUGGUUUGCGGUGACUUCAUGGAAUUUUGGGAAGAAAGCUGGGGAGAAUAAAGACUAUUCAUUAAGUGCUGAAUUCCUCAGCGUUGCAUCUGAGUUUUAUGGUCUUUUAGCUGAUGGACAAGUGGAUGAAAACAGUGUCAUGGUUUGCAAAUCACUAAUCCUUACCAUCUCCGCCAUGUUAGCUUCAGAGAAUCAAAAGAAGGCUGUUCUUCUCGACUCUGAUGUGAAAAAAAUGGUAGAGUUGCUAGAUAGAGCUGGAAAGAUAUUGAAGUCCUCCUCAACAGCAAUGCAACUUGGUGAUGAUCAACCUUUGUCAUUGGAGCCCGAAUUUCACUUCCUGUACACUUUCAACAGCUAUGAGCUAUAUGGGAGGAUGAAUAAUCCAAAAUCUCAACUUCUUAUCGUAAAGAGUUUUGCAAGCUCAAAGGCUUGUACCCCAGCAUAUCUCCUUCAGAUCGGUCUGACAGCAUCUCAGGGGCCUCGGCCCAACCAUGAGGUAGCAUUCCUUGCCCUGAACCAGUCCCUCUCCGAGCUCCUAUCUUCGGUUUCACCAGACUACAAAACUGUUGCUCUCAUUGUCCGAAAGCUGAUAACCGUUACCAGUAUUCACAAGGGUGAUGCAGAUGACGAUGCAGUGUAUAACAUUUACAAACAAGCGUACAGAAUAAUGGUAGGUUUAAAAGGAGGUGAGUUCCCAAUUGAAGAGGGCAAGUGGCUUGCCACAACUGCAUGGAAUCGGGCGGCCUUUCCCAUCCGCUUGGGGCAUUUUGGCUCAGCAAAGAAAUGGAUGAAGGUUGGGUUAGAACUCUCGGGGCUUGUCCCUGGAAUGGAGACUUACAAGGCUUGCAUGGAGGACUUUGUUGCUAGCCUUGACAAGAAAGUCGGUAUGCAUAACGGCAGUGAAGAGCAGCCUCAGACAAUAGCAGUGUGAGGUCUCUUCUACUGUCUACUAUACAGAAUAAGGGGUAAAUGUUUCUCCUAUAAUAUAAGCUGCACUUGGUAUGUAUAGUUAGAGGAAUCAAUACUGUCAUUUCGAUGGAACUUAGUCUUUGGCUGAAACUUAUUAUGAAUGAAAGUCGGUUAAUAUCCAUCUUCAAGAAUCACUUGUUUUCCCUCAUUAUGGCCAUUUCUAACUUCUUCAUUCUCGAGGCUGGCUUCGAAAACAAACCGUCCUUGCACAUGAUGAUACUCAUCAUGGAUCUUUACAUAAAUUAGAUAAUUAUCGCAGUGGGCUAGAUGGUUUGAGUGAUAUUAUAUGGUUAUCCGCCAGAAAAAAGCAUAGGUUUGACAAGGGAGUGACAAGUCAGCAGGAUUUGCAACAAUUUGGAUAAGGGAUAAGGUCCUGAGCACUUCUCAUCCAAUCACAGCCCUCCAUUGCCUCCACCUCAUUGGCUCCUUCCCAUCAG
Punica granatum (pomegranate) is the source of this 3394-nucleotide non-coding RNA. Lineage: Eukaryota; Viridiplantae; Streptophyta; Magnoliopsida; Myrtales; Lythraceae. The record is from RefSeq and is a predicted model, not a curated record.